CUAGUUUUGUUACAAAAAACAGACCAAGCUUCCGCUUGCGCCAAUCAAUCCUAAGAUCUAAGUUCAGGGUGAUCAAGCCUAGACUUAGCAGUAAUAAAGGAAAUGAAGCAGUCAUGGUCGGUGAUGGCUCCUAUCUCCCUAUAACCCACGUUGGUUCCACCAAUAUCUCGUCUCAGACAGAAAGUGGUGACAAAAGGGCCUCGAAGUAAAGGUCUUUACAUGUUGAAGGAUUCUCAGGUUAAAGUUCAUUUCUCAAACCGAUAAGUUACAACAUCUGAGACAGUGUGGCAUCAUCGGUUAGGACACUCCAAUCCAAGGAUUCUUCAACAUCUCAACAACAACAAGGAUAUCAUCAUGAAUAAGAAUAGAACAACCUCCAAUUGUGAGCCUUGUCAGAUGGGGAAGAACAAUUGUUUACAGUUUUUUUCUUCUCAGUCUUUUGUUUCUAUUCACUUAGAGAAAAUACAUUGUAAUCUCUGGGGACUAUCUCCUGUAAUAUCGAAUCAAAGAUUCCGCUUCUAUGCUAUCUUUAUUGAUGAAUA
Molecule: long non-coding RNA, 542 nt
Organism: Brassica napus (rape)
Lineage: Eukaryota; Viridiplantae; Streptophyta; Magnoliopsida; Brassicales; Brassicaceae
Exons: 2
Source: RefSeq, a predicted model, not a curated record